UCAAGAAUAUAUUUAUCUUGUAAUAUAUAUCGGUUAUUUAGUAAAUAUUUCCAAAUACGGUGUACGGAGCGCACGAGCAGUUAGACAAUUACCCAUUGCCGCGCCAAACCAUCCUCAUAACCUCAUUUUUGCAGCGUUUAUUUUUUGUAGGUUUAAAAUUCGUAUACAAAAUUUUAGUUAAUCCUAUUGUGAAAUAUCAAAAUACUGACCGAGUUUUAAGUGUGUGUGUGUUUAUAAAGUACGAGUGCUUAUACAUCGGAGAAGGUAAGUUCGUAUUUCUGUUCAUGUGCCCACAUUGUGAAAUUAUAAUUUAAAGAUCAUGUCUUAUUCUCAUCGCGUUCGACAUAAUAAAAAGUACCGUUACAUUCAAAAGCAGCUACUUAAAGGUUCCACCGAGCCGAGGGUUCCACUGCACCUGUAGAAAGUGAUAAAGACGUAGCCAUUGCCGAGACCAUUGCUUUAUCGAGGAAUUCUGAAUGGGAGGAUGAAUGUGCCUCAACCUAUAACCUUGACAUGCCAUCAAGUAGCUAAUACUUUACCGUUGCCAACAAGUGGGCAUACUACGCCAACCUCUACACAACCAAACAAUAUUAACACUGACGGUACUAGAAAGAGACAUGCUAAUGCAACAGAGCAAGAAAUCAAGAAGACUGUAUCAUUAUAUUUGGCACAAAGUAAAAGUCGUAUAAAAAUGAAGGAAAGCAUUUUCAAAUCCAAUGAUGUUUCUGCGGUGGAAGAUUUGUGAAUAAUUUAAUUUUUAAUCAAAUUAAUCGAGAAUGUGCCAUAAAAUAUAAUAGUAUUUACUUUGUAAAUAUCGUUAAUCAAGU
Long non-coding RNA from Photinus pyralis (common eastern firefly), 827 nucleotides. RefSeq lists it as uncharacterized. NCBI's taxonomy places the organism in Eukaryota, Metazoa, Arthropoda, Insecta, Coleoptera, Lampyridae. The record is from RefSeq and is a predicted model, not a curated record. The transcript is spliced from 3 exons.